This 501-nucleotide ribosomal RNA is filed under the name uncultured bacterium. Its description in RNAcentral is "partial 16S ribosomal RNA". It matches the Rfam family "Bacterial small subunit ribosomal RNA", at positions 30 to 523 of the family's 1533-position model. The record is from RNAcentral.
AUUGAACGCUGGCGGCAUGCCUUACACAUGCAAGUCGAACGGCAGCACGGGUGCUUGCACCUGGUGGCGAGUGGCGAACGGGUGAGUAAUACAUCGGAACGUACCUUAUCGUGGGGGAUAACGCAGCGAAAGCUGUGCUAAUACCGCAUACGCCCUGAGGGGGAAAGCGGGGGAUCGAAAGACCUCGCGCGAUUAGAGCGGCCGAUGCCUGAUUAGCUUGUUGGUGGGGUAAAAGCCCACCAAGGCGACGAUCAGUAGCUGGUCUGAGAGGACGAUCAGCCACACUGGGACUGAGACACGGCCCAGACUCCUACGGGAGGCAGCAGUGGGGAAUUUUGGACAAUGGGGGCAACCCUGAUCCAGCAAUGCCGCGUGAGUGAAGAAGGCCUUCGGGUUGUAAAGCUCUUUUGUCAGGGAAGAAACACCGGCUUUAACACAGUCCGGGAAUGACGGUACCUGAAGAAUAAGCACUGGCUAACUACGUGCCAGCCGCCGCAGUAA